CCAACCAACCACCCCACACAUGCCAACCUGCCAACCAACCACCCCACACAUGCCAACCUGCCAACCAACCACCCCACACAUGCCAACCAACCACCCCACACAUGCCAACCUGCCUGCCAACCAACCAACCCACACACGCCAACCAACCAGCCGACACAUGCACACCAACCAACCAAUCCACAUGUGCCAACCAGCAUGCGCCAACCAACCAACCCCCACACGCGCCAGCCAACCCACACAUCAGCAUUCUUUCUGCUGUACCGGUACGCCAUCACAGCUUGAGUGAUCACGUGAUGAGGAGAACUCAGCUGAGGUAUGGAAGCUGCAUGCUGUAUGGGUACGCAUGCUGCUGCACUCGUUCCUGCUCUGCUGCUCUCUUCUUACUGCCGUUCUGUGUAUUACGAGGAAGAGAGGAGCAGAGAGAGACAAAGACAUUCAGGUAACGAGAGAACUUUUCACUUUAUGUCUUUAUCCUCAUCAAGCUCCACAUAAAGUUCCUAUAAAGCUGUUACUGGACUGUUACUAGAUGGAGCAACUUAAUUAAGACUAGCUACCUGUGUUUCAUAGAAGAUUACGUGUCCUCCUAACAGUGGCGUAGCUAAAGGGGUGAAUCUCAUGUCAGCACUGCCCAUUGUCACUGCCACCUCUCAUUUCGCCAGAACUGUACAGAUGUUUUAUUGUUGCCAGUUUUUACUUUUCUGUCUUGUAGCUUAGACAGAUCAGAUGUUAUUGGAGUUAUCACGAUAGAUGGCUGAUGUUGAAAUUUGCUCCAUAUCUGUGGUGAAGCGUUUGAAAGUUUUUUUCAGGGUGUGGCUUCUUGACUCAGUGAGAGAAGUACUCCAGAACUGGAGAAUGAGAACUAACAGUUGGUUAGUAACGGGUCAAGAAGGAUGUUCAGGGUGAGUUUUAGGAUUAGAGUUAAACAGCAUUAAGACUUCACAACAAACUCAUUUCUGUCUUAAUUAAACGUCAUUCGUUUGUCAUUCAAGCAGCUCCUUUAGUUUCUCGGUUGUCUUUUCUCACCUAAGUAAUAUAUUCCAUACACACACACACGCACACAGUGUGUGUGUAGCGUCCUGGGAUCAUCCUUCACAUUUUCUACUAUAUCUAUCUCUCCAGCUUUUUCUCAUCAUCGUCUUUUCACUCGCUUCAUCUCUGUUCACGCUGACAUCAGUGGGGAAAUAAUCACUGAUUCAUUCCAUCAGCUCUGAUCUGUUGGUUAAAUUUCUUGUUACUUUCUUACAACUUCUUGUCUGAUCCUAUUUGUUGUUUUCAUGCGUUGUAAAACACCAACCUCCAUCAGCAUGAAUUCUACUGUGUCGGAUCUGUUACUGUACGAUGUUUGAAAUGUUUCUAUGCACAAGAAGAAAAUUGAGCUUACGAGCUUUUAUGUCAU
Ictalurus punctatus (channel catfish) is the source of this 1396-nucleotide long non-coding RNA. The record is from Ensembl. NCBI's taxonomy places the organism in Eukaryota, Metazoa, Chordata, Actinopteri, Siluriformes, Ictaluridae.